Molecule: ribosomal RNA, 433 nt
Filed under: uncultured bacterium
Lineage: Bacteria
Description: partial 16S ribosomal RNA
Rfam family: Bacterial small subunit ribosomal RNA
Source: RNAcentral
AACGAACGCUGGCGGCAUGCCUAACACAUGCAAGUCGAACGAGACCUUCGGGUCUAGUGGCGCACGGGUUCGUAACGCGUGGGAACCUGCCUUUAGGUUCGGACUAACUCAGAGACAUUUGAGCUAAUACCGGAUGAUGUCUUCGGACCAAAGAUUUAUCGCCGUUAGUUGGGCCCGAGUUGGAUUAGCUAGUUGGUGGGGUAAAGGCCUACCAAGGGGCCGAUCAAUAGCUGGUCUGAGAGAAUGAUCAGCCACACUGGGACUAGGACCCGGCCCAGACUCUUCCGGGAUGCAGGAGUGGGGAAUAGUGCAAAGCGGGGGGAAGCCUGAACGACCAAGGCCGGUUGAAUUAUGAAGUCCUGAGGGUAGAAAAGCUUUUUUACCCGAGAUGAUAAUGACGGUACCGGGAGAAAAAGCCCCGGCUAACUCCGUG